CAGAGGAGGAAUGGAGAGAGAGACAGGAAGAGGAAUGGAGAGAGAGAGAGAGAGAGAGAGAGAGAGAGAGAGAGAGAGAGAGAGUCACACCGUCAACCAGAGCACCACCACAUUAAUAAGGUGGGGAAGGAGUCACUCUACAUCGGGUUAAUAAACAGUUAUUCAUCUUCAGCAUGGCACCCAGGAAACAGGAGUUGGUUUGCCCUUGGGCUAAUCUUCAGGCCUGUGGACGACAGCCAAUCCAUCAGAGCACUAUUUAGACUGCAUACUACAAACUUUAAGACCUCUGGAAGAAGCAAGGUGAGGAAAGAGAAAAUGAGAGAGUGAUUGAAGAGGGAACGGAUGACAAGAAGGGGGAGAUGAUGUGGGAUAAGGUGGAGAGAAAGUGGGUGGGAGAGAAAGGUGAGAGGGGUUGGGCUGCUGGUCUUGCAGUGAUUUAUGAUGUUUAGAAAGUCAGGCUGUUUGAAUUAAUGAGGUAGAAUUGGUGAAAUCUACUUAGAGUUGUGUGUGUGUGUGUGUGUGUGUGUGUGUGUGUGUGUGUGUGUGUGUGUGUGUGUAGGUCAUUGGACAUAACCAUCAGUAACUGUGUAUUUAGGGGUUUGAAAUGACUCUCAAAUUGCAUUGCAUUAUUACAAAUGUGUCCAGAAAGAUGACUUAUGUUUGGAGCAGUAAAAUUGAAAACUUGGAGCUUGUUUGACCUUGAGAAAUGCUGAGGCAAACUGAGUUUUUGUCAUAUGGCGUCCUAUAAUAACUGUAUCAACAGAGGCAUCAUGGCUGACAGAUCUGAAAUCUAAUACACCUCAUCAAUUUCACAUAGCAGCAUGCAAAAAUACAAAAUAAUAUAUUCCUUAUAUUGCUUUCCAAGACUCACAGACAAACUUGUUUGUUACCUGCAACCAAGAAGAGACAAGGUCACAUUACAAAUUCACCAGCGCUGCAGCACAUUUCUUUUCAAGUUGUCAGCACUCUGAAGAGAGAUGGUGAUGAAAAAUUGCUUGUUUGCUCUGUCAGAAUUAUAUGUCCAAACAUCUAUCUCUCUAUUCAACAAACCAUGGCUUCAAUUCAUCCUUUCAUCAUUCCUGCUUUUUUUAACUUAUACCGAAUAUUUUCAGAGGUUGAACUCCAAAAUUUUCGUAUACUCUUCAAAAAAGACCAUGCAAUUACAUUUUCAAGGGGGCCAGAUUUGUAAACCAGAGAAUCCCCUAAGACAGAGGUCCCCAAUCACCGGGCCCCAGACGGGUACCGGGCCGCAAAAAAAUUAUUAUUGUUAAAUUUUUAUCCGUCCUCCCAGUACCUCAUUUUAAAAGACCACCCCCUCCGCCAUCGCCUCACUUUCGCCAUCGCCUCAAUUACGCUCUUGACUCUUCAGCAUGUCAUUUUCCUGCAUUAGCAACACAUGCCAUCCCUUGCAAAAAUGGGCCAGACACGGAGUUCACUGGAUGAGAAAGAGUUGAUUCUGCAUUAUGGUGAGUUGAUGUUAAAGUGUAAUGAAAAGUGCCUAAUAUAAAAUGUAAUUGUUGUUUCCAGAUUACAUACUAUGUACUGAUUAAGGUUUUUGUUAUUGGAACCUCCACGGCCCUAUCUGGUCCUUGGAAAAAGUUUCCUGCAUUAAACUUGACUCUGGUAAAAAAAAAAAAAAAAAAAGGUUGGGGACCACUGCCCUAAGAGAACCCCUAGCUCAGUGUUAAGGCUUAACCUAAUCUUUGGGCAGAUGACACUAUGAAGCUUUGGGAAUUCCUGUUGAAUUGUGCUAAAAGAGAUUUGAAACUUAGAAGGUUCAGACUCAGCAAACAUGGAUACAUUUGGUGACCCAUUAAACUAAAUUAUGGUCUGAAGCACCAUUGUGUAACCCCGUUUUAGUCUUUGGGAAAGAAAAGUAUACGAGGCCUGCGCAUUGUGAAUUACCACUAUCUGUUCGUUUUGUUUGAGUUUACUAGUGUUAUAUAGGCAUACUCAUACUGUGAUGUAGGCUACUUAAGUGCAAGUUUGUUGCUAAUAAUUUAUAAUCUGUGCAUAAGCACAAAGCUCCAAUAUUUAUUUCAUCUACAGUGUUUUUGCAUGUAAAACACACGUUAACAUGUUUGGUUAUUAAAUAAGUGGCUUUUUUUCUUACUAUCUUUGACUGAACAUACAGCAAAUCUCCAUUUAGUCUGCAUCAGUGCUCAGGUUUAGUAGGCACCCCUGUCUCAACAUCAAGCCAAAAGAGAAGUAAGGCUAUAAUUAUAUUUAUAUAUAGAUAUGUGUGUGUGUGUGUGUGUGUGUGUGUGUGUGUGUGUGUGUGUGUGUGAAAAUAGUAUGGUAGCACAUGCCCAUAGUAAGCCUAUACCUGUUCUGCUCUCAUUUAAAAAUGAAUUUCUUCUCUGCCUCUAGUUCUUUCUCACUGCUGGUUUGUGCGCAACAUCCAAAACAGUUCAGCGUCUAUAGCAAGAGUAAUUUGGCAGGCCUGCACUUCCUAAAUCCCCCAUCUCUUUUAAAAAAUGCCGGACUUAGAGGUUGACCUGACUAACACCGAUCUCAUCAGCACACCAUCUAUAUCUCAAGUAACCCGGAGCAGUACAAGGAACGCAACCAGGCUCGAAAGCACCUAACCAGAAAUUCUGGAAAUGCUAAGCCCAAGGAAUCAACCCAGCUCCCGGCUUGAAGCUUGCUUAGCCACAAGCCUCCUCCUCCUGCAUUACCUCUGACACUCCAGACCGGCCUGAGAAAACGUAUCAGUGGCUACCACUCUUCAGACUCUGAUAAACUCUGUUCAACUCAUUAACAACCACUGCAAUUCCUGUAUAAUACGGCAGCUCCCUCAGUGGUAACACCAGCCUCUCAACUCCUCCUGAACCAAACACAAGCCUUAACCUCAGCUCUGCAUGUAUCCACCUGCUCCUUAAUUGCACCUGCCAUGUCCCAGCAUUCAGUGGCGGUUCUACACCAAAUUACUCCCCGGGCGAGCACCCCCCCCCCCCCCCCCCACACACACACACACACACACACACACACACACACACAAACACAAAAAGACAUAGAAUUUUGAACAGAUAGUUUUGUAUUACUAUGUAGUAUUAUUAUUAUUAUAACAACAAAAAUAAUAUAUUUCUCAAUUGCAGAAAUCCUUCAUAGAAAAAAACACAAUCCUGAGGGCCAUUUUGAGAAGGGCCCCCAGAUCCUGAGGUUUUCUGACGUGUUAAGGUUUACAAAAAAGCUGCUAUCUCUGCCUCUGUAGUAGAUAGAAACAAAAUUCAAAAAGUAUUUGAGAGCUUAAACGUGGCUUUCAAGAAAGCUCUCUUUUAGUUUUGAGAACCUUCAUCACAUUUUUGAAAACCUUGAACAAACAAACUCAAAUGAAAUAAAGCGGCUGUAUAAAUAAAAGUAAAGGCUCUGCACUGGAGAAUGACAAAUAAUUUGCUUUCUGUAAAACAAGUGUGAGUCAUGAUAAAGUGUCCAUUCAAUACAAAUGUAAAUGUAGAAAAUAAGGUGUUGAAAGGGUAUACAGCUGCCCCAGUAUAGUGCCAGUACAAAAGCAGAACUAAAAACUAAAAAGUGAAUAAAUAAAUACGUGGCUGACAGUGUGUUCAUCUCUGUUCUCACCCAAAGUCAUGCAACACUCAGAGAAAACGCUGAUAGUGUGAGCCAAAGGACUCCAUAUGAAGAGGUUGUUCACACUGCUGGAUGUUUCUCCUCUGAAGCUGCUCUCUGCCUCAGUCAUUGUUUACUUUACUCACGAAGCUCAUCAAGCACGUAGCAAGAUCCGAGCAUGAACCCGAGUGCUUUAUUCGCCUAUCAAAGGCAGACGGGUACGGUGAUUUCAUUCACCGCGACUCCAGAAAUGAUUAAAAAACUACAAAAUGACGUAUCCGCGCUCCCGCUGAUAUGCUGACAUGCGUACACAGAGCAGAGCUGUCCCCCCGCGACUCUCUCCCCGCCUCGUCUCACACAGUCUGUCAGCCUCUGUGCAGCACCUUCGGAGCAAGCAGGGGCGCCUACAGCAGCGGGGGGGCGCCAAUUUGACAACAAGACUUAAUACAAAACCGCUUUGCGGUCAAGAUUUAUUAUUAUUAUCUUUUAUUUUAUUUUUUUGGAAGUGCUCGUGCCGCCCCCCAUGAGUCAUGACACAAAUGCCGCCCCGGGCGGCUGCCCUGUUCGCCCGUGCCUAGAACCGCUACUGCCAGCAUUAGCCUCACAGCUUCUCCACUAGGUAGGCCCUUUGUCCCUUUCUGCGCAAACAUUUCAACUCAUUUAAGAUCUAAAAGUCUUCAGGGCAAAGAUAUCAACCUCUGCCAUCUCCAGAGUGCCAUAAUUCAGCGUCCAUCAGGGAAAAUUCCCCCAUCUCAAAGUCAGCCGACCCCAGAUUAACAAGGGAUAUGUCCAUCUGAGAGUUUGUUGAUCAUUUAAUGCCUGGUCUAUCCCAGGGGGUUUCGGGUAGGGGUCACGUCUUCUCUGGCCUCUUCUUACCAGUGUAAAAAAAAAAAAACUCCAGUCAUCCAUUACCGAACCUCAAAUUGUCUCUCAGCUACAAAUAACUGAACAGGUAAGGCCAUUUAAUUUUUCCUUUUGAGUCUUCACCUUUCCCCAUAUUUCACUCCAGUCCCUCAGGCGUAGAAACACGUAAAUACUCUGGAAAGAAAAGAUCAAUAUUUGAUCUGUCCACUCCUCACAACGGGCCUUUCCCAAGCAUGAACAGUCUCAUCCCAUUAAAGACUUUCUCACUUCACUACUCCUCCAUAGACAAUGCCGUGAAACUCAUCAAGCUCGCAGGCCAAGGCAUGUGGCGCUCCAAAGCCGACAUCAACCAAUUCAUCCUUCACAGUGGCAUCUGUUUGAUCUAAAUUAGGAAUCCAAACUGUAUUUCGCUGUGUGCCUCACAUUACGAUGCAAAAGUAGUCCGUCAUUAAAUCAAGUUGCCGAAGCUCUGUCUUGGAUCCUUUAAACAAAGUCUGCGUUCCAUCUCUGCUUCACUUUCCACACUAUUUCCUGUUAAUCGUCCCUCUUCAAGACCAAUCC
Non-coding RNA from Xyrichtys novacula (pearly razorfish), 4992 nucleotides. Lineage: Eukaryota; Metazoa; Chordata; Actinopteri; Labriformes; Labridae. The record is from the annotation of a GenBank genome assembly.